RNAcentral lists this ribosomal RNA (371 nucleotides) under uncultured organism. Its description in RNAcentral is "bacterial SSU rRNA". It matches the Rfam family "Bacterial small subunit ribosomal RNA", at positions 526 to 896 of the family's 1533-position model. The record is from RNAcentral.
CGUAGGGUGCGAGCGUUAAUCGGAUUACUGGGCGUAAAGCGUGCGCAGGCAGUUUAGUAAGACAGGCGUGAAAUCCCCGGGCUCAACCUGGGAACUGCGCUUGUGACUGCUAAGCUAGAGUACGGCAGAGGGGGGUGGAAUUCCACGUGUAGCAGUGAAAUGCGUAGAGAUGUGGAGGAACACCAAUGGCGAAGGCAGCCCCCUGGGUCGAUACUGACGCUCAUGCACGAAAGCGUGGGUAGCAAACAGGAUUAGAUACCCUGGUAGUCCACGCCCUAAACGAUGUCAACUAGGUGUUGGGAGGGUAAAACCUUUUAGUACCGGAGCUAACGCGUGAAGUUGACCGCCUGGGGAGUACGGCCGCAAGGUUA